Lagenorhynchus albirostris (white-beaked dolphin) is the source of this 986-nucleotide long non-coding RNA. RefSeq lists it as uncharacterized. The transcript has 4 exons. NCBI's taxonomy places the organism in Eukaryota, Metazoa, Chordata, Mammalia, Artiodactyla, Delphinidae. The record is from RefSeq and is a predicted model, not a curated record.
CUGCGCAAAGCCAGAGGCGGACACUUUUUUCUUCUUACUGGCGGUAUAGCCCCCGGCGCUGCUGCCGUUGUGGAAAGGACUUGCCGGCCUCUUCUUGCUGUUCCGGGCUAUCCCCGGAGUGGAAGUGGUGGCCACAAUUGGAAUUUGAGCCGCCAUUCCUACCCCGAGUCUUCCUCCUACCCCCUCCCCACUUGGUCCCAGUGCAGGCCCUGGAACUUCCGGCCCGCCGUUACUUCCGUCUUAAUGCUUUUGAAAACCCGGCCUGGACUCCGAAAGCUUUCGUUGACUUCUCUCGGCCAAAUCUAAAAGGCGGAGCUCGGAGCUGUCUCUUCCUUCCGGGCGGGAGGGUGUCUGGCGGGCGGAGUGCUGCUGUUCACGAGCUCGGACCCGGGCACGUGCUUGGACGUCCCCCAGGGAUUGAGGAUUAGAACAUCCCGUGAUCUUUUUAAAACAACUGGAUUUUUAAAAAGUUAAUCACCACGUUGUCUCUUCUCACGUUAAGUCAGAAGAUUGAUCGCUUUUGAUGUCUCUAAGUGUAAAGUUAAAGCUCCCAGGAUCCACACCUUAGAUCCACGCCACAACUGUCACACGUUCAGAAGUGACACAGCUUCUCAAAACCACGCAAGUGUUUACUGAACACCCACCAUGUGCCUGGUGGUGGGCUGGGGACUAAGGAAAUGAACAAGCCUGAUCCCACCAAGUCCUCAAGGGGCUCUAGUCUGAAGCGUCAGAACACGUCUGACCAUCUGGCUCAAGUUCAACAAGAAGAGAGGUUCAUCCUGCUGCUCUCAGCUUUGGGAACAUUGUCUUUCUGACCUGAGCCCUUGAUGUCAAGGAGAUUGGGUGGACACAAGAGUGGAGAAGCUAAGUGUGAGCAGUGGUAAUGGUCACGCCCCAAGCACUUCCUCUUCAAGCAGUGUCUUUUCAGAUUGAGAUGCAUCAAGAAGGUAGGCAAAAGUAGCAACUUUUUUUUUUGGCUUCGCCGC